AUCGAUAAUUUGGGCGAGAAGUGACGCAAUUCAGCUUCGGCUUCAGCUUCCUGUCGCCAUGGCGCUCUCGCCAUUUUUAACCAAUCCUUCUUCUUCUUCUUCUUCUUCUCUUCUGCAUUCUUCAUCGCCAUCGUUCUGCUUUUUUCUUCGCCAUGCUGAAAGCCCGUCUUCAAUCUUCGUCGCACCUCUUCGAUUCAAAAUUCGUUGUUCUAACAACGCAAUCGAAGUUGAAACCCAACCACCCCGUCGAAUCCGAGUGGAUUUUGAAGUAAAGAAGAAGCGGAAGCUCAGGCCCAGCUUCCUCGAGCAAAUUCGCCAUAAGUGGUCGACAAAACCGACUUCCUCAAGAGAGAAGUUCCCCUGGCAGCAGCAAGAACAAGAUAGAGAGCAGAAGGAGGAGGAGGAAGAGGAAGAACGGAUUGGCUAUGAAGAUUCUGUUUCAAUUCGCGACUCAACGACUAAUGUAACUCAAGCGGUUCCUAUAGGUCGCCCAAUUUCGGCCCCUUGGGCUCACGGUAGCAAAUCCAGAAAUUCGCAGUUCGAUUUCCAACCUAAAACGCCAGAAGGUGAAGUGUUUAAUGAGAUAUCCGAGGAUUUUUCCGAUGAUUCAAGUAAUCGCGACGCAAGUACGAGAAGUUUUGACGAUGAUGUUUCUCCUGGUGGAAACUCGAAUGGAGAAAUUAGUGAACGUAUUGAUGAAAUUUCACUGGAAUUUUCGGAAGACGAGGAGGAAAUUAAUCCUGUAGAUCUCAACGUUCUGCCGAUUACUGAAAAACGUUCACCGUCGAGCAAAAAAUUUGUUCGUUCUGUCAAUUCUGAUAAUGAUAGCAAUGGUCCAGUUGAUUUGCCAUGGAAGAGAGAGCCGCGUAGGGAUUCUGAAGAAGUUGAUCAGAGAAGCAGCAAAACAUUAUUGGCUGAGAAAACGCUUCCUGAGCACGAAUUGCGGAGGCUCAGGAACAUUUCUUUGAGAAUGCUGGAAAGAAUUGAAGUGGGGGUCGCAGGUAUAACUCAAGAACUGGUGGAUACCAUUCAUGAGAAGUGGAAGGUAGAUGAAGUUGUCAAGUUGAAAUUUGAAGGGCCUCUUACUGUCAACAUGAGGAGGGCACACGAGACAUUAGAGAAUAGAACGGGCGGAUUGGUCGUGUGGAGGUCGGGUAGUAUGAUAGUAUUGUAUAGGGGAAUGACAUACCACCUGCCUUGUGUUCAAUCUUAUGCCAAACAAAAUCAAGCUAAAAGUUGUAGAUUGGAUGGUUCAAACAAUGUAGAAUAUGAUGCUAACACGGUCAGAACUAUGAGUACAAUUGUUUCCGGUGCUUCAAAGCAUACCAAGACGUUAUCUGAAAAGGAACUCGCGGAGUUGAGUGAUCUGAACCUUUUGUUAGAUGAGAUAGGUCCGCGUUUUAAGGAUUGGUCAGGCUGUGAGCCAUUGCCUGUUGAUGCAGACCUGCUUCCUGGUAUAGUUCCGGGAUACAAACCUCCAACUAGAAUUCUGCCUUAUGGGGUAAGACAUUGCCUCAGGGACAAGGAGGUGACUGCUUUUCGUAGGCUUGCAAGAAAAAUGCCUCCACAUUUUGCUUUAGGAAGGAAUAGACAACUGCAAGGUUUGGCCAAUGCUAUGGUAAAGCUAUGGGGAAAAUGUGCAAUUGCAAAGAUUGCUAUAAAACGAGGUGUAGAAAAUACACGUAAUGAGAGAAUGGCAGAAGAACUCAGGAUAUUGACAGGAGGAACGCUACUCUCUAGAAACAAGGAAUAUAUUGUUUUCUAUAGGGGCAACGAUUACCUGCCACCCACAAUCACAGAUGCAUUGAAAGAAAGGCGGAAGCUAGCAGAUCUUCAGCAAGAUGUCGAAGAGAAGGCGCGACAGAUGGCUUCAACUUCAGUUGAGUCAAAAGUGAAAGCUUCAAAUGCUCCAUUGGUUGCUGGUACACUGGCAGAAACCAUUGCAGCAACUUCUCGUUGGGGAAGCCAACAAAGUGGUCAAGAUAUUGAGACUAUGAGAGAAGAUUCAGCUUUAGCAAAACUUGAAUAUCUAAUUGAAGAUCUCAAGAAGAAACUAGCUCUUGCAAAAGGGAAGGUAACAAAAGCUGAGAAGAUUAUAGCAAAAUUGCAGGGGAAGAAAGAACCAGCAGAGCUUCCCACUGAUUUGGAGACCAUAACCGAUGAGGAACGACUUCUAUUCCGUAAGAUCGGUCUGAGUAUGAAACCAUAUCUGCUCUUAGGGAGGCGUGGUGUUUACGAUGGCACCAUUGAGAACAUGCACUUGCAUUGGAAGUUUAGAGAGUUAGUAAAGAUAAUUGUGAGAGGAAAAACUCUACAACAAGUCAAGCAUAUAGCAAUCUCUCUGGAAGCAGAGAGCGAUGGAGUGGUGGUUUCUUUGGAUAAAACUACAAAAGGCUAUGCGGUUAUCGUCUAUCGUGGGAAAAAUUAUACCCGUCCUGAUGCACUGAGGCCUAAAAACAUGUUGACUAGAAGACAGGCAUUGGCUCGAUCAAUCGAAUUACAGAGACGUGAGGCACUGAAGCACCAUAUUUUAGAUUUGGAGGAAAAAAUUGAGCUGCUGAAGGUUGAGCUGGAAGAACGGAGAAAUGGGAAAUGGCUCUUGAAAGAUUGACAUUCUUUGCCGGUAGAACCACUGAAGUGUUGUCAUGUGUAGUUGCUUUGGAACCGGGCAACUAGUCAUUAUGAGAAUGGCACUUUUGGUUUGCAGCAGUGAAGUACAAAUUUCCUUUCAUUUUGGAGCAAACGAACAUUAUUUCAAGACAAAGGAGAUCAGAUUUGGAGCUCAAGAACAAACACCAUGGAGUUAAAAGCAUCAUUAAACCCAAAGUGGGUGUGGAAGAUCUUGAGUAUGAUCUAUCACUUCACCUGUCUGCAGAAGAUGAGAGGCUGAUGAGCUUUUACAAGUCAAUGGCUUAUCGGUAGAGUUUACCUUAUCUGUCUCUUUCUCCUGUUGAAGGAAUGAUCUUAUCGAACUCUCGAGCAUCGUUGACUGGAAUUACUGCAUCUUCAGUUCCAUGGACUGUCAACACUCUGUACAAACAUCAUAAGUUCAUCACUAGUUAAGCUAUUUUUCUCCUUCAACAUGAGAAUUAUACAUUUCUAUA
Molecule: non-coding RNA, 3104 nt
Organism: Cucurbita pepo subsp. pepo (vegetable marrow)
Lineage: Eukaryota; Viridiplantae; Streptophyta; Magnoliopsida; Cucurbitales; Cucurbitaceae
Source: RefSeq, a predicted model, not a curated record